Molecule: ribosomal RNA, 483 nt
Filed under: uncultured bacterium
Lineage: Bacteria
Description: partial 16S ribosomal RNA
Rfam family: Bacterial small subunit ribosomal RNA
Source: RNAcentral
GAUGAACGCUGGCGGCGUGCUUAGCACAUGCAAGUCGAACGGUGAAGCCCAGCUUGCUGGGUGGAUCAGUGGCGAACGGGUGAGUAACACGUGAGCAACCUGCCCUGGACUCUGGGAUAAGCGCUGGAAACGGCGUCUAAUACUGGAUAUGAGACGUGGCCGCAUGGUCAACGUUUGGAAAGAUUUUUCGGUCUGGGAUGGGCUCGCGGCCUAUCAGCUUGUUGGUGAGGUAAGGGCUCACCAAGGCGUCGACGGGUAGCCGGCCUGAGAGGGGGACCGGCCACACUGGGACUGAGACACGGCCCAGACUCCUACGGGAGGCAGCAGUGGGGAAUAUUGCACAAUGGGCGGAAGCCUGAUGCAGCAACGCCGCGUGAGGGAUGACGGCCUUCGGGUUGUAAACCUCUUUUAGCAAGGAAGAAGCUUUUGUGACGGUACUUGCAGAAAAAGCGCCGGCUAACUACGUGCCAGCCGCCGCCGUAA